UUUACAUCCCUAAGUAAGGCCGACUCAUGGUACCGCUAUCUCUGGUCUCGGUGGUAGGGCGCUAACUAUGGAGCUACGCCCUCGCCUCGCGUCGCCGCGCCAUUCACGUGCGAACCUGUAACACCCCAAAACCACGUGGGGUGAGAACCAACUCCAUGGUUCCCAGUGGGUACGGCCACCCAAGGGAAAAGCUCGACCAAUAGGUCCAAGGGAGGCAACUGCAAGUUAGUUCAAUAAACAGAUAGAUAUAUAUCUUUAUUAUACAACUAAUAAAACCAUGCUUUGUCUCACGAAUGCAAUAAUACCAUGCUAUAUGCGAAUCAUGCAACUAUACAAGUAGAAUAAAUGAUUUUACGUUGUAUCAUGCUAUCCACAGCUUUUUCAUAAUUUAUACAUCUUAUCACUUUACAUCAUUGGUUAUUUGCUCCUAAGGUUUUCCUCUACCCUAGCCAAGCUAACCACCCGACUCGGUCUCAAGUCAAUCAACUGCGGAAUACCGCACCAAAACUAGGCUCGAGGUGAUGGACGUCUCACAUACACCUCAGCCCUAAAUCCUCUCGACUGGGAUACCAAACCCGUAACACAUAAUGCUGUACAUUCACUUGGCUUUGACCCAAUCUUACCGGUUAACCAUGUUAACCCCAAUAACUCACAACCCAAAAUCCCUUAAUAGCGGGGGACUCGAACCUCCCUAAGGACCGUCUUCUGCGGGGACUUUACCACGCCUAGUGGUGACCAACUCCGGAGCGCACCGCCCGAGGGGGAGCUACCUCCCUCAAGCCAAGACUUAUCGUGAGUAUCGAUCAAUCCUCAACUUGAGUAUUCAUAGCCACUAGUCACAAUGCCAAUGUCACAAUAGGUUUCUACCUAUUUAAUCAUGCUACUCUAUGUCAACUUGGUCCAAUGCCACUCUUGGUUAAACUAUGUUUAACAACUAUAUCCUCUAUGCAUAUCAAUGUCUCUAUUGUCAAUGUCGCCUUUGUUUACUAAUGUCCAAGUCCAACUCUCACAUUCACACAAUAAUAGGGUUCUAACAUACAUGUUCAUUAUGGUUCUACCUUUCUCUAUGUUCAACUACGUUAGAAACAUGUCAUUGAAAGUAACCAAGGUUCACAUGUACUUAGUCCUAUUAUGUAUGAAUGAUACAAAUAUAUAUGCUCAAUGCCACAAGUGUUUGCUAGGUUCAUGACACUAGGUUCACACUAUACUUGUUCAACCUAUAUUCAAUACACUAGGUUUAAUGCCACUUGAUGUCCAACCUAUGUUCUUUGGCACUAGAUUCAUAUCCUCCAUGUCCAACCUAUGUCCAUGACUCUAGGUUUAAUGCCACUCGAUCUAAUGUAUAUAGAUUGUCCAUAUGCACAUUUCCAUUUCUUAACAUUAGUAUCUCUACAACAUGAUCAUCAAGUAUAUCUUAGCAUUAGCCACAUGCUUGCAUUUAUUAUUUCUACAUCAUGCUUAUCAUACCAUUACUUAGCAUUAUCCCCAUGCAUGCUUAUCAUGUAAACUUUAACAUUACUCAAUGCAUUCAUCUAGCACUAUUUACACUAAGUCAUCAUGCAUUCCUCUUAUCAUGUUCUUAUAAUGUUAACAUUCAUAUGCCCUUUAUCUUAUGCAUUCAAAGCAUUAAUCACAUGCAUUUAUCUAGCAUUUCUAUAAUAUGUUAACAUGCAUUCUUUUCACAUUCUUACAUUAUGUCAAAUGCAUUCCUCUAGCAUUUCACAUUAUAUGUCAACAUGCAUCAAUAUGAAAUCUCAUUUCUUAGACAUAAAGGGCGACCUAGUCGCUUCGGUAAGCACAACCCACCUCAUUUCGCAUUCCGAUUGCUUGUCGACACUUACAAUCGACCGCCCGCGGCACCCGUAUCCGGCACGGCCCGAUACUGCAACUGCGCCUCAACCGUGCUCCGCUUCGCAGCCCCGAAAAUUAUAGGUCUUCGGUUAUGUGCCACGAUGCCUCAAAUCCAUUUCCACGAUUUUACGACGUCGCCUCGGCCCUCCCGGCGGACCCGAAGCCUAAACGUCCAUUUCUUUAAUAACUUUGUAACGGCUCGUCGGAUUGCCGAACCGUCUUCGCCAACGCGUUUCGUUACCUAGCAAUUAGGUUUACGAAGGAUCAAAUGAGAUCAAACCCUCAUAUUUUGAAAGUUUGCAUUUUUGUGCCCUAAUAUGAAUUAACCUCUAAAUAAUCCAAAUCAAAUGGAGUAAACAUGUUUAGAAUGCUCAUUAGAGGCUAUUAGAACACUUAAAACUAAGGAUUAAGCCAAAUCCUAAAAGCUUACCUCAAUGUGAACGCCGCGACGACAACACACCGCUCCAACGGCCGCACGAAAGCCCGAUCCGUCGCCUCCAACGCGUUCGCAAGCAUCUUCUCCACCAACCCUCCAAUUUUUAGAGAGAGAUUUAGAGAGAUGAGAGAGAUAUCUAGAGAGAGAUAGAGGUGUUUCUCUCUCUACUCUAUGCGUGCGUGGGUGUGUGCUCGGGCUGAAGGAGAAAGAAGAAGAAGCAUCAGCUUCUUUAUAAUGCACCCCAAGGCACUAUUCACUUCAGGCAGUUUUUGCAGUUCGGAACAGUUGGAGCCCUUCUGAAUGUCUGUUUGAGCUCAAAUUUGACAGGCAGGCUCAGUUUAACGUACUAAGUAAGAAUAUAUUUUAAGUUUUCAGUUUCGACCCCAUUUGGUCACCGAAAAUUGUGUCGAACUGUAAUCUUUAUCAGAUAACUCUCGGAUUUUAUUUCUCACUCUACGGGAGUCAGAAAAAUAUGAAACUUUAAAUCUAGCCUCAUAAAAAUAUUUCUGGCUCAUCCUCCAAUUUUUAUAAUUUUCUGAGACUGUGCAUUUUCUGCUAAUCUAUCUGUCCCAUUUCCAACAGAAAAUUCUAGAUCUUCUGCUUUCAUUCCGAUUUCAGCACAAGUCACUUCUGAUUUAUGUUUUACUUCUAUAAACCCAAGAAAAAUAGUUUCUCACGCUAUUUUUAUUUAUUUUUAUUUUUAUACCAAAAUCUGGUAUGUUACAACCAUACUCGGUAUACCAUUGGUCACACAAUCUAUCACGUGGCAUUCCACGCUCCCGGGUCUAAGCUCGGACUACCGUCCUGACCAGAACUCUGCCCUACUCGUAGGUACCGGGCCGCUGUCACUCACAGCUGACUGCGCCUGCCCAAAGGGCCCAGGCUCCACAGUCCACAAAUGGUCCAGGCACGGGUCGUCCCCAAGCACUACCCACCGUCGUCGUUCUACACGACAUACUCUACCGAGUCACACGUACCAAUAUCAGCUCUUAUGCACCUAGUGCGAGUCACCAGUCCCACGAGUGAUCCAUGGCACCCUUCACACCUAGCAAUGCUCAAGUGCUACUGCCAACUCACUCACUCGGCUGAAUACGCAUCCGCACUCUACGGGUCUCUACACUCGAGCGCUCUACGCCUCUACAGCGUUCCACACGAAGUCCAACAUUAGGCAAUCUUGCCUAUGCACACCGGCCGCACGAGCACAACCGCCUACCUCACCUUGAGGUACUACUAGGCCCACGUGCUCAAACUUGGCCACUAAUCGACCGUUCUCUCAACAGUGAUGCUACUUUCACUAUUCGAUCUACCGGAAUAACAUCCGAAAUUUUCGGACUACCCGGGUGCCCAUAGGCAUUAUGGCUCGACUCUCGCAAUUUACUACUUAUAUUGCUCUGAGAGUCAUUUCGACACUUCUAUCUGUACCGCGAGUCUCACUUCUCGCCAUAGAUUACUUCUAGCACUUCGCUAUUGCCAUCUGGCUCUAUACCUGUACUGGCAGGUACUACGCCCUCACAUAAUACAAAACUCCAUUUCUAGAGCAAUCAAAUCUAUCUCCAAAAAUCCACCAUGGGAGAGAGCUUAGAAGCUUACCUCUCCAAGAAGCUCCAACCAAGGAGAAAAUGAGGAAGAUGAGGAAGACCUCCUUCUUCUUCUUUUUCUUCCCUUUCCUUUCUUCUUCCUCCUCUUGUCUGCUAGAGAAAGAAAGAGAGAUAUGAGAGGGUGUGUUGGUGAGAAAUAAGAGAAAAGAGCUCUCAUAUCCCUCACAUAGCCCCACAUGUUGCAUAAGUGCAAACAAGCCCCUCAACUUUUAUUCUUUUACACUGCCCUGACUGGGCCAUUUUCGGGUUCGGGGACCAGUCUCCCCGACGAGGGACCGGUCUCCGAGAGCUUCUCCCCGCAGUCAGCAGAGCUCACACCCGAUGCAACCGGUCUUUCUUUGGGGGACCGGUCUCUUAGGGACCGGUCUCUCCAGCAGGGACCGGUCUCCGAGAGCUGUCCACCAAGGACUUAGCCGAUUUUUCUCUCCUCUUGCUACCUGCGCGUUUGGGGACCGAUCACUCCCCACAGGGACCGGUCUCCGAGAACAGAAAACUUACAGUUUGCAGAUUUUCAUUUCCAAGGCUCUCGAAGAUCCCCAGUAAUGCACUUUUGCAUUAUUUGACGCCUCCGACCUUUCCAAAGCGUACCAACCUCGCUCUUUGGUCAAUUUGACCAAGGUUCGAUACUUGGUUACCGAAAUUUCGGUAUAUUACAUACCCACUCGAUAACUAGCCGAUCCCGGACAAAGUCCAACUCUCGGCUCUGGAGAUUUCACUUCGUUACGACCAUACUAUAUGGUACACCCCUGGUGUUAAAUCGGUAACACAUGUUCCAGAACUUCGAUUUUGCACCGCUUCGACUCCAAUUCGCGUCGAGCAAUGCUAAAACUAUUCUAACUCUUUUAGAACUUAAUUCUAACUCUUCCAACAUUAUUGGAAUAUCAAUUGGACUUUGUCCAACUACUUCUCUCGACGCACUUUGGUCAAUUUGACCAAAAGUGAUCUAACACGAUGAGGAUUUCGUUAAUUUCUCAAAGGUCACAAGGGCCGCCAAAACUCGCGAAGUUCCAAGUCUCCACUCGCCUCAAAUUGCCCAGGGACACCGCUUGGCCCAUCCCGUGCCGAUCUAAAAGAAGAUCGCCUACAUAGUACAAUCGCUUCCUAAAACGCGACAACUCUAUUAAUCCUCGACCAUCUAGGUCGAACACAAGACACUUAAUACCGACUCAAAUCAGGCGAAAGUCACGCAAGGCUGUCUAUUCUCAUUACUCGGUUUCAUGUUGUAUGCAUCCAACAUGAACACCCUCGGUUGAGAAUAAACCACACCUUGAAUCUACCUCUAACAUCCGUUUUAGAGGUUUACAACAUAACCCAAUCAAUUUAUCUUUCGCCAAUAGUCACAAGUCCUCGUCUCUCACGAGCCUUAAUCUCCUAUGGUUUACUAUCCUAGGGUCUCCUAGGUCCAACUAAACCAUUUUCUAUUAUUCUUUUUGUGUUCUUUUUAUGCUCUGAUACCAUCUUAUCUGUCACGCCCCGAGCCCGCCUAUUUGGUCGGUUUCGGGCAUGCCAACAGAUCGCCGAACGGAUAGGGUUUCUCCUGUACUGCGGACAGAGUCUCCCCUGUACGUUCAAGGCAUAGCAAUCAAUACAAUGUACGAAGUUCCAACCAGGAACACAUUUCAAUCAAGAUUGCAUAAUGGAAGGUAUCAAACAACAUAACACAUCCUAUAUUAUUACAUUCAUUCAUAUUCAUGCAUUUUACACCUCAACUACCAUUCCUUUUUCAUCCAAAUGCAAUCUAAAUUAUUACAACAUUUAUAUCUUUAAUACAUCAUGUUACAUUGUGUUCUUUUUAUUUCUUUAACCCCUAAGGUAUGUCGACGGGGUACUGCUAGCUCUGGUCUCUGGGGUAGGGCGCUAUCUACGAAGCUACGCCCUUUCCUCGCGCUGCCGCGCUGCUCACGUGCGAACCUGUAAACACCCCAAAACCACGUGGAGUGAGAACCAACUCCAUGGUUCCCAGUGGGUACGGCCACCCAAGGGAAAAGUUCGACCAAUAGGUCCAAGGGAGGCAAUUGCAAGUUAGUUCAAUAAACAGAUAGAUAUAUAUCUUGAUUAUGCAACGAAUAAAACCAUGCAUUGCCUCACGAAUGCAAUAAUGCAAUGCUAUAUGCAAAUCAUGCAAUAAUGCAACUAUGCAACCAACUAGUAGUUCAUUUGACACUACUUUCAAUUCUGCUAACCAUAGCUCAUCCAUUCGAUAUCUAAGGUUUCCUCUAUCUUAGAUUCUUGUCAAUCACCGUUUUAAUCAUAAAGUUUCAUCUACCUUUACAAGGCUAACCACCCGACUCGGUCUUGAGUCAAUCGUCUGCGGAGUACCGCACUAGAACCAGGCUCGAGGCGAUGGACGUCUCACAUACACCUCAGCCCUAAAUCCUCUCGACUAGGAUACCAAAUCCAUAACUCAUAAUGCAUACUUGUUGUACACUCAUUUGGCUAUGACCCAAUCUUACCGGUUAACCAUGUUAACCCCAAUAACUCACAACCAAAUCCCUUAAUAACGGGGGACUCGAACCUCCCUAGGGACCGUCAACUGGUGGGACUUUACCACGCCCAGUGGUGACCAACUCCGGAGCGCACCGCCCGAGGGGGAGCUACCUCCCUCAAGCCAAGACGUAACGUGAGUAUCGAUCCAAUCCUCAACUUGAGGAUUCAUAGCCACUCGUCACAAUGCCAAUGUCAUGAUAGGUCUCUACCUAUUUAAUCAUGCCACUCUCUAUGUCAACUUGGACCAAUGUCAAUAUGGUUAAACUAUGUUUAACAAUCACUUUCUUGAUGCCAAUCAUGUCUCUAUUGUCAUUGUCACCCUUGUUUACUAAUGUUCAAGUCCAACUCUCACAUUUACACAAUAAUAGGGUCCUAACAUACAUGAAUGACACCAGAAUAUAUAUGAUCAAUCACCACAAGUGUUUGCUAGGUUCAAGAUGCUAGGUUUAAUGCCACUCGAUCUAAUAUAUAUAUAGAUUGUCCACUAUGUUCCACAACAUGGCAAUAUGUCAUCAAGUAUGUUUUUCUAUUUAACAUAAUCCACAAUAUGUAAAUUCAUAAUAUAUCAUCAUGCACAUAUACCACUAGCAUCACAUGAUAUGUCAACAUACAUAUAGUCAUUAUCCAAAAUAGUCCAUACUUAGCAUCUCAUGCAUUCUUUUAGCACUUAAUUCAUUAUGCAUUACAUUUAGCAUAUUCUACAACAUGUCAUCAUACAUUCCUUUUAUGAUGUUCUUAUAAUGCUAACAUUCAUACGCCCUUUAUAUUAUGCAUUCAAAGCAUUAAUCAUAUGCAUUUAUCUAGCAUUUCUAUAGUAUGUUAACAUGCAUUCUUUUCGCAUUCUUAUAUUAUGUCAAUAUGCAUCAAUAUGAAAUCUCAUUUCUCUUAGACAUACAGGCGACCUAGUCGCUUCGGUAAGCACAACCCACCUCAUUUCGCAUUCCUAUUGCUUGUCGACACUUGCAAUCGGCCUCCCGUGGCACCCGGCACCCGGUUUGGCCCGAUCUCUCGCGCGACCACCCGAACGGCCUCCAAUCCACGAU
RNAcentral lists this long non-coding RNA (7415 nucleotides) under Ananas comosus (pineapple). RNAcentral describes it as "long non-coding RNA (ACOM_LNC038689)". The record is from RNAcentral. Lineage: Eukaryota; Viridiplantae; Streptophyta; Magnoliopsida; Poales; Bromeliaceae.